Molecule: RNA transcript, 4918 nt
Organism: Aethalodelphis obliquidens (Pacific white-sided dolphin)
Lineage: Eukaryota; Metazoa; Chordata; Mammalia; Artiodactyla; Delphinidae
Gene: CBLC
Gene name: Cbl proto-oncogene C
Exons: 12
Source: RefSeq, a predicted model, not a curated record
GCUCACCUCCUCCGGCAUUGGAGGGACUCAUGGCUGCGGCGGCCCCGCGGGGACGGCAGUGGAGCGAAUCCAAAGCGUUCGGUCGGGCGGUGAGGCUGCUGCAGCGCCUGGAAGAGCAAUGCGGUGACCCCCGGCUCGCCUCGAGUCCCCCCUCGCUGCGGGACCUGCUGCCCCGCACCGCGCAGCUGCUGCGCGAGGUGGCGCACGCCCGGCGGGCAGGCGGCGGAGACGGCCCCGAGGGUCCCGGUGGUGCGAAGGACUUUCUCGUGGUCUAUCUCGCUAACCUGGAGGCCAAGAGCAGGCAGGUGGCGGCGCUGCUGCCACCCCGGGGCCGGAAGACUACCAACGACGAGCUCUUCCGGGAGGGCUCCAGACUCAGGCGACAGCUGGCCAAGCUGACCCUCAUCUUCAGCCACAUGUGCGCGGAGCUGGGCGCACUCUUCCCUGGGGGCAAAUACUGUGGACACACGUACCAGCUCACCAAGGUCCCGGCCCACACUUUCUGGAGAGACCAUUGCGGAGCCCGGUGUGUGCUGCCCUGGGCUGAGUUUGAGCUGCUUCUGUGCCUCUGCCACCCCGUGGAGCCUGGCUGCACCACCCUGGCCUUGCGCUCCACUAUUGACCUCACCUGCAGCGGCCAUGUGUCCAUGUUCGAGUUUGACAUCUUCACCAGGCUCUUCCAGCCAUGGCCAACACUCCUCAAGAACUGGCAGCUCCUGGCCGUCAACCACCCAGGCUACAUGGCCUUCCUCACUUACGAUGAGGUCCGAGCACGUCUGCAGACCUACAGAGACAAGCCAGGCAGCUACGUCUUCCGGCCCAGCUGCACUCGCCCGGGGCAGUGGGCCAUCGGAUUCGUGAGCUCAGAUGGCAACAUCCUGCAGACCAUCCCUGUCAACAAACCUCUGUUCCAGGCACUCCUGGAAGGACAAAAGGAAGGCUUCUACCUCUACCCAGAUGGGAAGAACCACAACCCGGACCUGACCGAACUCUGCCAGAUGAAACCCCAUCAGCGUGUCCACGUGUCGGAGGAGCAGCUGCAGCUGUACUGGGCCAUGGACUCCACGUUUGAGCUCUGCAAGAUCUGUGCCGAGAGCAACAAGGACGUGAAGGUGGAGCCGUGCGGGCACCUGCUCUGUAGCCGCUGCCUGGCUACCUGGCAGCACUCAGACAGCCAGACCUGCCCCUUCUGCCGCUGCAAGAUCAAGGGCCAAGCGGCUGUGAUUAUCCAUGAGCUCAAAGCCAGCACCACUGCUGAGGACUCAGAGGACAGCAAUGACAACGGAGGGGAGCUGCAGCAGGUGACCCCGUCACCUCCUCCCCUGCCCCCUCGGCUGGAUCUGCCCCCCGAGAGUCUGAGAAGCAAAUACCAGCUGAAGGUGGCACCUCUGGCGCUCCCCAGACUUCGAGCCCCUCUAACCUUGCCAAGAUUUUGGACUGAGGCCUCAGCCUCAUUGGAAAUCACCUCCAGCCCCCAGGCCAGGGAGGGCACCAGAGGAAACUCCUAAAGGGAAAGUCUCCCCUCCAUCUGCCCCUGAGGGACCCACGAAGGCCUGGAUGCCAGAAUCCUCACCUAGAAUCUCAGCUGCUCGGACUCUUGAGGAAGGUGGAAGGCAGGGUGCUGAUGAGAGGGCGCCUAGCGUCCUAAGCAGUAGGUACAUGAGCCAGGGCCAGAGCAACAGGGGAGUGGGUGCCUGGGGUCACUGUGCGUAAGCUUGUCCCAGGGAGCACUUUUGUCUACGCGUGAGUUGUUUCCACGUGCGUCCUGCGAUGAUCUAGUGCGGGUGGGGUUUGCACGUGAGCCUGUGUGCUUCUGCGUUUGAGCCUUGCAAGCCUUCCCUGAGUGCCUGCUCCGAGUCUGGCCUUUGCAGGGCGGUGUUGGGGACACAACAGUGACCGAAACAGCCCUGGCCCUCCCCUAACCGGCUGCCGGUCCAGUGGGGGAGACAGACUUGUCCCCAGACAGAGAUGACCCAGAAUGUGCAGGGCUGGGGUGGGGGAGCCCAGAGGAGGCCCCUGACUCAGCCUAGGGGAGCAGAGAGGGCUUCCUGGAGGAGGGGAUGGUGCGGCUAAUACUAAAAGGUCACCUCUCCCAAUAUAACAAUUGCUCUCCUGUAUGGACAAGGUAGCCUUGACCAGCCUAACCAAUAACUCAGAGGCUGACCUGUAAUCUAAGACUUCCCUGGUGUCUGACCGGUGACCACCCCACCCCCAGCUGAUCAGAGGCCCGGGGAACCUCUCCCAGCAUGACCAGCUGCCCCCUAUUCUGACCAGUGUUGAGGGCUAGCUUCUCCCAGGUAACCAGUGAAAUCUCACCCCCAUCCCCCAGCCAGCAUCUAGGGAUUUUGUCCCAGUCAGGCCUGGUUUGUGAGGAGCUGUGCACAGUCUGAUCUGUGAUCCCAAGUCUGACCUGUGACCCUUCCUUCUGACCCAUGGCAGGGGCUCAUCCCUUCCCUCAGGUGCCCUGGCCUCCUCCCCUCCCCCACUCACCUGCUACUGCCAGCCGGAUUCUCUUCCCCUCCCCCCAAAGUUGGGAGGGAGUGAAGGGAAGAGAGAGGAAGGGGGGGUGGCAUUCCUGGGAUUCCCUGGAUGGGGGGAAGAGAGGGAGGGCCCUACGGAGGAGAGCGGAGGAAAGUGCACCCCACGGCCCCAGUAUCUAUCACAGAGGCGUGGGCAGACCUGGGAUUUGAAGACCAUUCGUUACAAGAGAUUGAACUGGUGGGUUCCAGGCCACUGGUCAGACAGGAAAGCAGCCUGGCGCACUGGCCACUGGGGAGGCUUCACGGGGCAUACUGGGAGAAGCCGUUCUAGGCCUCUGGUCAGGCUGGGGAUUGCUGGUUGGACUGGGGAGGCCAGUGCAGGCCACUCGUUGGACCGGGACCAGCUGUUUCAAAACGAUGAGGCGAGCCCAGGCCACCGGCCAUGGUGAGAACGAGUCCCCCGGUCAGAUUGAGGGGGAGAGAGAGGGUCCGCGGUUGUCCAUUGAGGUCCCCGCUCGGGACACCGGCUGGACUGGUCGGUCAGGGCACCCGCCGCGGGCGCUGGGCAGCCUGAGCCUGACACCCCGCGGGCUGGGGGCGGAGGGAGCCCCGCUCCCGGCUGAGCGCUGGGAGGUCGUCUCCGGGCAGUGGGAGGUCCUGGCCCCGCGCCCGGGUUUGGGAGGGACGAGGGGGGCCGGGCGGGGCGGGGCGGGGCUACCUGGGGCGGGGCCUCCUCUCUCCAGCCCUGCGGCCGCCGAGCCCCAGCCCGGGCUCAGUUGUUUCCUCCUCUGCCGCCGCGCCCGCCGCCGCCGCCCGCCGCCGCCACCCGCCACCUUGAACAUGGAGCCCCCGGACGCCCGGGCCGGGGCGCGCAGGGGCCCGCGGCUGCUGGUGCUCGCGCUUCUGCUGGGGGCGCACCGAGGUAUGGCUCGGGCUGAGAGCAGGGCGCGACUCAGGGGCGGCCCCUGGGGGACCCCGGGAAGGGAAGAGGGGAGGGGCUUUUACCAACCCAGGAAGCCUAACCUGGGGACCCCAGGGAGGAGGGAUAUGGGAGCAUGGGGUGCCCCUCCCAGUGAGAGACAUGGGGACAGCCAGGAAGAGGGGCUGGGGAUCCACUGCAGUGGAUUAGAGGCGACCUGAGAAGUCGCGGGACCCAAGAGCGCGGGCUCUCCUCUCCCUCCCCUACUCAGACCCUGGGAUCUGCCCCCAGAGGUCCAGGCUUUCAGUGGCUGGAGCUUACCCCGGCACAGAAGAGACCAAAACAGAUCUACCCGCUCAAAAGUUGUCAAGUUUUGAGGGGGUCAGGGACGCUGUGUCUAGAAACCAACAAGUUACGUGCAUUUGAGGGUUCUCCCCCAUGUAGCUUCAGAGCCCAGACUCAAAAGGACCCGCCUGCCCCGCCUCCACCUCCAUGGGAAAGGGCUGGGGCACCAGCCCUGACAGCGGAACCAAGUGUUUCCAAGUGACAGUGCCCCCUUCCCGGAGGCCCCAGAUAAUAAAAUCCACACACCUGCAUGGUGGUGGGAGGAGGGGAGGAGGCCCUGAGGCACUGGCAGCAGAGGGACAGAGAGAUGAGAGAACUGGGGUAGAAAGAGAUCUCUUCGUCCGCCCUUGCUGUCUGCCGCUCAGACCCAGCCUAGGGUACCAGCGUGGUCCCACCUCCCUCCCAGGGGGCAGGCCUGAGCCACAGGUAGGUGCCUGGGAAUCCAGGCCCCUGGCACAAGCAUGGCAAGUAGUGGGUCCCCAGGGGCAGAGCUGGGCCAGUCUGGGCGGGGAAGGGACCGGAGUUUCUAAGAAUUGAGAGCUCAGGCCAGGAUGCCAGCCCAGAGAGUGAAAGAGCCUGCUUUCCCGAUGCAAGCAGCUCUAUCUGCCAGGAUCCUGGGACAGGAGUGCCGGCCCUCAGCUCCCUUCUCCCUUGGGACCCAGGAUCCGGGCCCUCAACCCUGUACUGUUCUGAGGUGACACACUGCUCUCUCAAAGAGUCAGAGGGGCCAAGGAGCGGGCAGGGGGCUCGGGCAGGUCUGAGCCAGCCUGUCCCUCCCACAUUCCUGAAACCUGCCCAGCCCUGUCCCCCUCACCGCGCCCACACACCCACCCUGCCUCAGCUCCGGCCCAGCCCCAGCCCCAGCCUCCCACUCCUGAGGGAAAGGGCCAGGGACAGGGCCGGGCCACAUGGAGACUGAGAGAGACGCAGAGACCGGGAAACUAAGAGAUGGAGACCCAGGGGGAGUGACACACCUGCAGAGGCGGCGACUAAGAUGAGAGAGAGACGGUUAUCCCACAGCACUGUGCCAGGCCCUAUGCAAAGUGCUGGAGGCAAAGGAAUGAGCCCACCCAGCCCUGCGCUUGAGGGGCAUUUGAUAUAGUAAGAAAAGCAAGGACAGACAUGAUUUGAGCCCAAGAGGAUUGAAUGGAGGCCACCGGGGCCCUGGGUGGCC